This 551-nucleotide ribosomal RNA is filed under the name uncultured bacterium. RNAcentral describes it as "bacterial SSU rRNA". It matches the Rfam family "Bacterial small subunit ribosomal RNA", at positions 380 to 917 of the family's 1533-position model. The record is from RNAcentral.
AGCCUGAUCCAGCCAUACCGCGUGGGUGAAGAAGGCCUUCGGGUUGUAAAGCCCUUUUGUUGGGAAAGAAAUCCAGCUGGCUAAUACCCGGUUGGGAUGACGGUACCCAAAGAAUAAGCACCGGCUAACUUCGUGCCAGCAGCCGCGGUAAUACGAAGGGUGCAAGCGUUACUCGGAAUUACUGGGCGUAAAGCGUGCGUAGGUGGUCGUUUAAGUCCGUUGUGAAAGCCCUGGGCUCAACCUGGGAACUGCAGUGGAUACUGGGCGACUAGAGUGUGGUAGAGGGUAGCGGAAUUCCUGGUGUAGCAGUGAAAUGCGUAGAGAUCAGGAGGAACAUCCAUGGCGAAGGCAGCUACCUGGACCAACACUGACACUGAGGCACGAAAGCGUGGGGAGCAAACAGGAUUAGAUACCCUGGUAGUCCACGCCCUAAACGAUGCGAACUGGAUGUUGGGUGCAAUUUGGCACGCAGUAUCGAAGCUAACGCGUUAAGUUCGCCGCCUGGGGAGUACGGUCGAAGACUGAAACUCCAAAAAGGAAAUUUUGACGGA